GUCUGUCUACGGGGGGCAGCAGUGGGGGAUAUUGCACAAUGGGGGGAACCCUGAUGCAGCGACGCCGCGUGGGCGAUGGAGUGCUUCGGCAUGUAAAGCCCUAUCAGCAGGGAAGAAAAUGACGGUACCUGACUAAGAAGCCCCGGCUAAAUACGUGCCAGCAGCCGCGGUAAUACGUAGGGGGCAAGCGUUAUCCGGAUUUACUGGGUGUAAAGGGGGCGCAGACGGCGAUGCAAGCCAGGAGUGAAAGCCCGGGGCCCAACCCCGGGACUGCUCUUGGAACUGCGUGGCUGGAGUGCAGGAGG
This 305-nucleotide ribosomal RNA is filed under the name uncultured bacterium. RNAcentral describes it as "partial 16S ribosomal RNA". It matches the Rfam family "Bacterial small subunit ribosomal RNA", at positions 333 to 655 of the family's 1533-position model. The record is from RNAcentral.